UUAAAUAAAUUAAAUAAAUUAAAUAUGAAUAAAUAAAAAAAAAUUGUUAGGGAGCCUAGUAUAAAUAUCCCAAAUCGGAUUAGUAAAUUCAAUAGUCUCAACUUCCUCAUUCAAGUUAACAAAACUUAAUUCCAAAAUCGUUGAUACUUUCUUCUUGCCUAAAAAUGCAGCUUAUUUCAUCUGUGGUUUGCAUAGCACUUGUAGUGUUAAUUAUUGCUUUGUCUGGAAAUGGCGUACCUUCUGGUCUUACUCCAGAUCAAUUGAAGAGAAUCUUAAAUGGAAAAUGAAAAUAAAACAAAAUCAAUCUACAUUGCAUCAUUCUACUGUUAAAUAAAAAUAUUAAAAAUGAAAAAUAUUUUUAAAAAAAAUAUUAAAAAAAAAAAUAAAUAAAGAAAAAAUUUUUUCAUAUUUUUGUAUGGAAUAUGUAAAAAAAAAAUUAAAAUUAAUUAAAUUAUUUAUUACAAAACUAAAUCAAA
Leptopilina boulardi is the source of this 476-nucleotide long non-coding RNA. RefSeq lists it as uncharacterized. Lineage: Eukaryota; Metazoa; Arthropoda; Insecta; Hymenoptera; Figitidae. The record is from RefSeq and is a predicted model, not a curated record. The transcript is spliced from 3 exons.